GCGCUAAUAAGUCGUUUCAUUUUGCGUGCGUGAGAGUUUUCAAGAACCUCCUGUCUAACCAACCCAAAAUUGGGUUGGCCACGUAUAGUCCAAGGAUGUGUGUGUGAGAUGCAUUCAUUUAUGUGCGUUGGGAACUCAUUCCCUCCGCACGGAAAACGGAGCGGUCCAUUAGCGCGU
This 177-nucleotide microRNA precursor is filed under the name Oryza sativa (Asian cultivated rice). Its description in RNAcentral is "miR2121b stem-loop (osa-MIR2121b)". The record is from miRBase by way of RNAcentral. Lineage: Eukaryota; Viridiplantae; Streptophyta; Magnoliopsida; Poales; Poaceae.